Ceratobasidium sp. 428 is the source of this 96-nucleotide non-coding RNA. NCBI's taxonomy places the organism in Eukaryota, Fungi, Basidiomycota, Agaricomycetes, Cantharellales, Ceratobasidiaceae. The record is from the annotation of a GenBank genome assembly.
AGCGGUAUAGUGAAGUGGUUAACACGGGAGGUUUAAGUCUCCGUGAUAUAUUUCUCCUGCCGAAAGGCGUCGUGGGUUCGAACCCCACUGCCGCUA